AUGUUGGCUGAAGGUUUUCUCAGAGUGCUGCGUUACAGGGAGGAGAGAAAGUUUGCCUCUGCUUCCAAGCUGAAGAGAUCGCAGACACACACUCAUUGUGUGGAUCCAUCCAACUGUGUUCUCUCUGACUCAAACUCUACAGGCCUACAGACAGAUUCAGCUGAAUCAGGUCCAGACCAGGAAGAACUAGACACCAACAAAUUCCAGGGACUGAAAGUGGUGCCUCAAGGUCCCGUAGGCCUAUCAAUCCCUGGGUGUCCACAUCUCCUCACUCUGGACCCUGACUUUGCAGUUUGCUUAGACAAUUGCAGCCUCCUGGAACAGUAUCCAGACUUGCAGGUGGCUGACACAGGCCGCAUCUCAAACAACCCACUGAGAACCAUCCUCGCCCAGCCCGGUUUUGCCAGUGAUGCCUGCCAUCAACCAGAAUGGGCAGCCCAACAGGAGCCACUAGGCGUUUCAAUACCAGACCAGGGUUAUCUGGUUAUGGGGGACAGUGUAAAUAUCAGCUUGGAUCUACCCGGAUCAGGGUUGGAGCCCAUGUCUAACUCUGUGCUGAAUGGACUGCUGGACAAACAGUUGGAGGAAGUGUACAUGCAACAUCUAACUGAUAACUUGGCUCGGUGUAACUCCCACCUGGGAAACAGCCUCCUGCACGGCCUGGUGCCUCCGCCACAGCCCAGCAGCCAGCCACAGGGGCUCGAUUCACUGGUGGCCAGUCUGGGAGAAGGAUCAGGAGGGGACAGCGACAAGAAGAUUAGUUAUCUGAACACCCAGAACUUAGUUCCCUGCUCAUCCAACUUCAGCUCCCCAGUGCUGAGGAUUUCAGAGGCUGACAAUACAUUGAAUAUGAUGCUCAACUAGUAACAACUAUUUUGCUUCUGCACUAGUCACAUGCAACUGAGACAUGACAACAAGUGCAUUUCAGUUAAUGAAUGGAUGCUUUUAUUUUUGUUUACAUAUAUUUUUUAUACAAUGUCUGUUUUUACUUAAAAUAAAAUGAUCUGCUGUCAUGCGCCAUCUGCUGUUAGAUUUUAGUACUACACCAUCCUGAAUUUACCUGACAUACAUAAGAAUUUAUUUCAUUGACCUUAUUACUGUGUGUGUGUGUGUGUGUGUGUGUGUGUGUGUGUGUGUGUGUGUGUGUGUGUGUGUGUGUGUGUGUGUGUGUAUUUAUUAUACCGAAGCAAACUGUAAUCCUGUGUAAGCUUAUAUUGCACAUUGAAGUUACCUUGUAAAAAGAGACAUAACCUGUUGUAAAAGAAUCCAUCUGGUCUAAAGGAAGUAAAAUAAAUAAUCAUUAAAUGAGGAUUCCAGUCAACAAAUAAGUAGUAAUUUUUUUUUUUUUUGUUUUUGAGUGCAUUUGAUUUUAAUUCUGUUGUUUUCAUUUGCUGGCAAUUCUUUUUGGUCUUAAAUCCUUUCUUUUGGCAAAAGAAGGGACAUUUUUAAUAUCGCACAUGUAUUCUUUUAAGUGAUAAGUCUCCUAAUAAUGUUUAGAGAGAUGCAUUAAAAACAUUGAAUGGUAAAGUAAAGUGGGUUAUUUAUAUAUAUUAUAUUAUAUAUUAAUAUUGACUCUAUUAUGAGAUCAUAACAGCAUCUGCAUUUACAAUGUAUGUCAUUUACUUGACAUGAAAGGACUUGACGUGAAUACUUAUGUUUUGUUUUGUUUGUUUUGUUUGUCUCCAAAUCAGUUAAGACAAACAGGGGCGAUGAAACACAAAUAUAAUAAUAUUUAUAAAAUAAUAACAUUAUAAAAGGUGUUUGUUGAGAUUUUCAGAGUGUAAUUUUGGGGUAUUUUUAGGAUAGUUUUGUUUUUUGUUAUAUUGGGGAUGAUAGAAUACAAAUUUGACUCAAAAUUACAUAUGGUUUGUAACUGUAACAUUAUGGUGUGCAGAAAGCAAAAGGCAAAAGUACUUUUAUUACUCAGGAUUCUGUGUGGUUAUAUAUGCUAUCUAUAAAAUAAUGACAGAAGACAUUCUUGCCAUUAUAUGUAAACCAGAGAUCAACGACAACCCCUCUGACAAAGAGAGCUGUGUCUAUAUCAGACUUAUCAGGCUACAGCAGAAAUAACCAAUGAAACUUGAGCUAAAGCAUAAAUGUAAAUAAUAUUUAAAGUAUCACCAAAAUAUCUCAAUAUUGGAACCUGGUAUCACUCUCAAAUUAACAUACAUGUGUUUUAAAAGUUAUGAAGGUUUUCUUAUACAGUAUACGGCUUAUUUAACAAGUUACCAAGCUUUUUUGUCUGGAGUUGGCAUGAAUCCUCUGAAGUCCACAUUCAUUUCUUACUGCAGUCCAAUAUAUGCAAGUCAGGGGUUUGUAGAAACAAGUUCAUACCUCACAUCACUUGGUCUUUCUGUAUGAAACCUACGAAGGACAUGACCAGUCUGUCCAUGUGUCCAAGUUGUCUUUUACUGACUAUAACAAAUGGUAGAGAUUAUGAAUGAAUAAAAAUG
Molecule: long non-coding RNA, 2453 nt
Organism: Dicentrarchus labrax (European seabass)
Lineage: Eukaryota; Metazoa; Chordata; Actinopteri; Moronidae
Source: Ensembl